Molecule: unclassified non-coding RNA, 752 nt
Filed under: Hevea brasiliensis (rubber tree)
Lineage: Eukaryota; Viridiplantae; Streptophyta; Magnoliopsida; Malpighiales; Euphorbiaceae
Source: RNAcentral
GAGAGAAAGGGGAGUGGAGAGGUGGGGGUGGGUGAGAGGUAUAUAAGGAGUUUGACUAACUUUUUCUAAUUACAGCACUGUAUUAUAGUGAAUAUUGGAUAUAUUCAUUAAGAUGUAAUAUUAAUGUUUCAGCUUUCCUUUUUUGGGGAAAUGACAAAUCCACAGCCUUUUGUUUAGGUGCACUAACAAUUUGUUCCCUCUUUCCUUUCACUUAACUUUUUAGUCAUGUGAGGACUUUCAAGACGAGAAUAAUUCCAAUUAGUUAUAUCUUAGAAAUUUUUAAACUUAUGAUAUGUUCCAUGUUUGUUCACUUUCUUGGAAAUAAGUGCUACUUGAAUAAUUUUCCCAAGGCAUUGCAUCCUUAAAGAAUUAUGCAUAUGCCACUUACACCACCUUUUUCCUUGUGCAAAAGAGAAUUUUACUUUUAUUUGUGAAUUUUCAUUGUACUUUGUUAAAAGUGCUAAUGAACAAAAAAAAAAUAAAUUUCUCUUAGUUAACUCAAAAGUUAUUAGGUUAAUCCAUCUGAGCAUGCAUUGCACAUCAUUAAGAGCACAUAGUUUAGAAAAAGAAGUUAGAGGGUCACUAUAAUUGUUACAAAUGUUAAAGUUUGUGGCCAUUAUUUAUAAUUUUAAAAGAAGUGGCUAUAGUUGUGAAUUUAUGUACUGUUUUGGAUAUCUGUCAUUAGCCUGUUAAUGUUAUAAUGGCUUAGGCGGUGUUUGGUUUAUCUGUUGGGUCCAACUGAUAGCUGAUAG